RNAcentral lists this transfer RNA (68 nucleotides) under Bhagadatta austenia (grey commodore). Its description in RNAcentral is "tRNA-Trp". Lineage: Eukaryota; Metazoa; Arthropoda; Insecta; Lepidoptera; Nymphalidae. The record is from RNAcentral.
AAAUUAUUUAUAAAAAAUAUUUUUUUUAAGCCUUAGUAUUUAUUAUUUUACACCUUAAAAUUUGCAAU